UUAUAGUUUGUUUGAUGG
Molecule: non-coding RNA, 18 nt
Filed under: Arabidopsis thaliana (thale cress)
Lineage: Eukaryota; Viridiplantae; Streptophyta; Magnoliopsida; Brassicales; Brassicaceae
Source: RNAcentral